Molecule: ribosomal RNA, 253 nt
Filed under: uncultured bacterium
Lineage: Bacteria
Description: partial 16S ribosomal RNA
Rfam family: Bacterial small subunit ribosomal RNA
Source: RNAcentral
UACAGAGGUGGCAAGCGUUGUUCGGAAUUACUGGGCGUAAAGGGCGCGUAGGCGGUCGGGCAAGUCCUGUGUGAAAUCCCUCGGCUCAACUGAGGAACUGCACGGGAAACUGCUCAACUUGAGUUCGGGAGAGGGAAGCGGAAUUCCGGGUGUAGCGGUGAAAUGCGUAGAUAUCCGGAGGAACACCGGUGGCGAAGGCGGCUUCCUGGACCGACACUGACGCUGAGGCGCGAAAGCUAGGGGAGCAAACGGG